RNAcentral lists this unclassified non-coding RNA (339 nucleotides) under Typhula sp. RNAcentral's name for it is "partial contains 5.8S ribosomal RNA, internal transcribed spacer 2, and large subunit ribosomal RNA". The record is from RNAcentral. Lineage: Eukaryota; Fungi; Basidiomycota; Agaricomycetes; Agaricales; Typhulaceae.
AACGCACCUUGCGCUCCCUGGUAUUCCGAGGGGCAUGCCUGUUUGAGUGUCAUUAAAUUCUCAACCUCAUAAGCUUUUGUUUAUUGAGGAUUGGAUGUGAGGGUUGCUGGCUUGUAACAGAGUUCAGCUCCCUUGAAAUGUAUUAGUGGACUUAGCCGUUUGUGGGCCACAUUGAUGUGAUAAUUAUCUACGCCUUUAUGGUUCGCAGCUUGGGAGGUUGCAAUGUAACAGUUGCUCUUCCUGUUGUCAAGUGCUGUCCGCUUCGAACCGUCCUAAGUUAUUGGACAAUCCAUUGACUUGUUUGACCUCAAAUCAGGUAGGACUACCCGCUGAACUUAA